This 418-nucleotide ribosomal RNA is filed under the name uncultured Amanitaceae. RNAcentral describes it as "eukaryotic LSU rRNA". The stretch from base 123 to 276 matches the Rfam family "5.8S ribosomal RNA". Lineage: Eukaryota; Fungi; Basidiomycota; Agaricomycetes; Agaricales; Amanitaceae. The record is from RNAcentral.
CGGCUCUGGUCACUUGNNNCUUCUGUUCCACCUGUGCACUGCCUGUAGACACGCUGUGUCUAUGAUAUUUGUUAACACACAACAAUGUUAGUUGGCAUGUUAUAUAUAAUAAUAAAAUAUACAACUUUCAACCACGGAUCUCUUGGCUCUCGCAUCGAUGAAGAACACAGCGAAAUGUGAUAAGUAAUGUGAAUUGCAGAAUCCAGUGAAUCAUCGAAUCUUUGAACGCAUCUUGCGCUCCUUGGCAUUCCGAGGAGCAUGCCUGUUUGAGUGUCAUUAAACUAUCAAAACACUUUUUUUGUUGAAGUGUUUUGGACUUUGGGAGUACUGUGCUGGUCUCUUUUGUUUUGGACCCAGCUCUCCUCAAAAGCUUUAACUUUGGAGAACCAUCAGUGUGAUAUAUCAAUUUGUUUAUACG